GAUGAACGCUGGCGGCGUGCCUAAUACAUGCAAGUCGAGCGAACGGACGAGAAGCUUGCUUCUCUGAUGUUAGCGGCGGACGGGUGAGUAACACGUGGAUAACCUACCUAUAAGACUGGGAUAACUUCGGGAAACCGGAGCUAAUACCGGAUAAUAUUUUGAACCGCAUGGUUCAAAAGUGAAAGACGGUCUUGCUGUCACUUAUAGAUGGAUCCGCGCUGCAUUAGCUAGUUGGUAAGGUAACGGCUUACCAAGGCAACGAUGCAUAGCCGACCUGAGAGGGUGAUCGGCCACACUGGAACUGAGACACGGUCCAGACUCCUACGGGAGGCAGCAGUAGGGAAUCUUCCGCAAUGGGCGAAAGCCUGACGGAGCAACGCCGCGUGAGUGAUGAAGGUCUUCGGAUCGUAAAACUCUGUUAUUAGGGAAGAACAUAUGUGUAAGUAACUGUGCACAUCUUGACGGUACCUAAUCAGAAAGCCACGGCUAACUACGUGCCAGCAGCCGCGGUAAUACGUAGGUGGCAAGCGUUAUCCGGAAUUAUUGGGCGUAAAGCGCGCGUAGGCGGUUUUUUAAGUCUGAUGUGAAAGCCCACGGCUCAACCGUGGAGGGUCAUUGGAAACUGGAAAACUUGAGUGCAGAAGAGGAAAGUGGAAUUCCAUGUGUAGCGGUGAAAUGCGCAGAGAUAUGGAGGAACACCAGUGGCGAAGGCGACUUUCUGGUCUGUAACUGACGCUGAUGUGCGAAAGCGUGGGGAUCAAACAGGAUUAGAUACCCUGGUAGUCCACGCCGUAAACGAUGAGUGCUAAGUGUUAGGGGGUUUCCGCCCCUUAGUGCUGCAGCUAACGCAUUAAGCACUCCGCCUGGGGAGUACGACCGCAAGGUUGAAACUCAAAGGAAUUGACGGGGACCCGCACAAGCGGUGGAGCAUGUGGUUUAAUUCGAAGCAACGCGAAGAACCUUACCAAAUCUUGACAUCCUUUGACAACUCUAGAGAUAGAGCCUUCCCCUUCGGGGGACAAAGUGACAGGUGGUGCAUGGUUGUCGUCAGCUCGUGUCGUGAGAUGUUGGGUUAAGUCCCGCAACGAGCGCAACCCUUAAGCUUAGUUGCCAUCAUUAAGUUGGGCACUCUAAGUUGACUGCCGGUGACAAACCGGAGGAAGGUGGGGAUGACGUCAAGUCAUCAUGCCCCUUAUGAUUUGGGCUACACACGUGCUACAAUGGACAAUACAAAGGGCAGCGAAACCGCGAGGUCAAGCAAAUCCCAUAAAGUUGUUCUCAGUUCGGAUUGUAGUCUGCAACUCGACUACAUGAAGCUGGAAUCGCUAGUAAUCGUAGAUCAGCAUGCUACGGUGAAUACGUUCCCGGGUCU
Molecule: ribosomal RNA, 1372 nt
Filed under: uncultured bacterium
Lineage: Bacteria
Description: bacterial SSU rRNA
Rfam family: Bacterial small subunit ribosomal RNA
Source: RNAcentral